This 769-nucleotide ribosomal RNA is filed under the name uncultured Pseudoalteromonadaceae bacterium. Its description in RNAcentral is "bacterial SSU rRNA". It matches the Rfam family "Bacterial small subunit ribosomal RNA", at positions 28 to 776 of the family's 1533-position model. Lineage: Bacteria; Pseudomonadati; Pseudomonadota; Gammaproteobacteria; Alteromonadales; Pseudoalteromonadaceae. The record is from RNAcentral.
AUUGAACGCUGGCGGCAGGCCUAACACAUGCAAGUCGAGCGGAAACGAGUUAUCUGAACCUUCGGGGAACGAUAACGGCGUCGAGCGGCGGACGGGUGAGUAAUGCCUAGGAAAUUGCCCUGAUGUGGGGGAUAACCAUUGGAAACGAUGGCUAAUACCGCACGAUGCCUACGGGCCAAAGAGGGGGACCUUCGGGCCUCUCGCGUCAGGAUAUGCCUAGGUGGGAUUAGCUAGUUGGUGAGGUAAGGGCUCACCAAGGCGACGAUCCCUAGCUGGUCUGAGAGGAUGAUCAGCCACACUGGAACUGAGACACGGUCCAGACUCCUACGGGAGGCAGCAGUGGGGAAUAUUGCACAAUGGGCGCAAGCCUGAUGCAGCCAUGCCGCGUGUAUGAAGAAGGCCUUCGGGUUGUAAAGUACUUUCAGUCGUGAGGAAGGCGGCGUCGUUAAUAGCGGCGUUGUUUGACGUUAGCAACAGAAGAAGCACCGGCUAACUCCGUGCCAGCAGCCGCGGUAAUACGGAGGGUGCGAGCGUUAAUCGGAAUUACUGGGCGUAAAGCGCAUGCAGGUGGUUUGUUAAGUCAGAUGUGAAAGCCCGGGGCUCAACCUCGGAAUAGCAUUUGAAACUGGCAGACUAGAGUACUGUAGAGGGGGGUAGAAUUUCAGGUGUAGCGGUGAAAUGCGUAGAGAUCUGAAGGAAUACCGGUGGCGAAGGCGGCCCCCUGGACAGAUACUGACACUCAGAUGCGAAAGCGUGGGGAGCAAACAGG